This is a long non-coding RNA of Motacilla alba alba, 2114 nucleotides long. RefSeq lists it as uncharacterized. Lineage: Eukaryota; Metazoa; Chordata; Aves; Passeriformes; Motacillidae. The record is from RefSeq and is a predicted model, not a curated record. The transcript has 4 exons.
CGGCCGCGCUGGAACACCCGUUCCAGCUAACACCUGCCAUUGCCCCCGCAGCCUCUGCCCUUCCCUUUGUCCGGAGCGGGGAGGCUGCAGUGCCGGCGCCGCACCGCGCAGCGGCACCGUCCGCACGGACACGCGGGGCGCGACCGCCGGGGACGGCGCCCGCCGCCGCUCGGGAACCCGCAGCGCGUCCGCCCGCCGAUCCGCACCGCGACCGCACGGCAACGGCCGCAGGGCCCCCCCGCCUCGGCCGGGCACGCACGCCACCAAAGAAAGAGCGUUUCUGCGAAAUCUCAGCCCCCAAAUCCCGCGGUUACCCGCUAAAAUCUAACACCGGUGCUUGCACCACGGGUUUCUGUGAAGGAUAUCACAACUGAGAAGGCAAUUUGAGAGGGGAAGAAGAGCUCAUUUCUAUCACUGUGGCUGAAACCCAGCUGUAAUAGCAGAAAUGGCUUUUCUGUCUUAAAUUUUCAGAUUCCAGUCUGUGGCCAUCCCUCUUUGUAGAAAUGGUACACUGUUGGCUCAUAUUAAACCUGCUCUCCACGGUAUCACCCCAAUCCUUCCCUGCAAAGUUGCUUUCUAUCCAGCUGACAACCCAGCCCAUACUGGGGCAUGGAAUGACUAUGCAGCACUUUGCCUAGAUGCAGCACUUUGCCUAUUUUGAAGUUCAUGGUUCUUGUCAGCUCAUAUCUCCAGCCUGCUGUUUUCCUUCCAAAAAAUAUUUCAACUCUCCAGCUUAUCAACUGGUCUCUCUAAUUUGGUGUCAUCUAUGAAUUUGCUGAGAGUGAAUUCUGUCCUAUCAUUUAAGUCAUGGAUGAAGACGUUGAACAGAUGAGCACCAUCACUCCAUGACCCGGAUGCAACCCAUAUUUCAUGCUGCUCAUAACAGGCCUUUGAACCCAAAAGUCCAGCCAAAUUUUACUCCAAAUUACUGUCACUUAUGCAGUCAAUGCUUGAACAACUAGCUGGGGAGAUUCUUUUGGAAACUGCGUCCAAGAUCUUUCAAAAUUAACAUCAUCUCUUCUCCCAUUGUCCCCUGAGCUGAUCAUCUGACCACAGAGGAAAACCAGCAAAACACAGAGAAAAGAUUGAAUGCCUCAGAAUGUUGAACGUCUGUUCAAUGAGUAAGGAGCCUCUUCUUCAACUCUGCACCUUCUGUUGUGACACUCAGAUUCUCUGUGGAAGUGCCCACAACCAUCAUCGUCCUCUCACCCUGAAGAUCAAAUAAUUCUGAUGACAGUAGGCUGGUUUCAAAUUACCAUGUGAUGAUGACUGGAGACCAGGGGCAAAUGGCUGCUAAAAACAGAGAUAUGCCUGGGAAAAUCAAUCAGUUGUGAGUUGUUAACAAACACACACACAAACACACACACAAACACACACACACACACACACACACACACACAAGACCACUUUGAACAUUCAAAAAAAAAUACAUGCUACUUUCCUCAGAGUGUAAGUGAUAUUGAACAGUUCUUAAAUUCACAGAAUAGGACUCAAUAACACCAUAUGGUCUUGGUUAAAAUUAUUUUAUAUUGUAACAAAAGCAAAACCAUCCCACAGAAAGCAAACCUUGAGCCAGUUAUAUGAGUGCUGCUGAGGGAGUGAGAAACCUGAUUUCCUGAUGGACCAUAGGGCAAGUCACUUUGUCAAGAUAUCUUAUCUGUAAACUUUAAUAGCUUUGAGAAUUUGGACUUUAAUUUCUUCAUCUGUUGAAUUAUGAUGUUGGUAAUAGCACCUCUGUGUUGUGAACUACUUGGAUACUGUGCAACUGGUGAUCAUGUCAAUAUCAUAGCUUAAAUUAAAUAGAAAUGGAAUUGUUUUACUCCAGACUGGGGCUGAUUGUUUUACCACUGUCUCAAUACAACCCUUAAGAGCAGUAGGUAUUUUUGCUCAUUUUUAAUGCACUAUUUCCUAUUUUUAGGGUGUUUUUUUCCUUCCGGUAAAUACAGCCAGAAGUGUCACACAUCUUAUAACUGACUUCUUUAACUUUGAGGAAGACAGGAUUUAUCCUGCCACUUCCUAACUUUUUUUCACUUUAAGAACUACUCUGAGAGUAUAUCCAUGUAGGAUAAUACGGCAAUUUAACACAUGCCAGUGAAAUAUUAUAUUGUUUUAUA